Molecule: ribosomal RNA, 433 nt
Filed under: uncultured Kiloniella sp.
Lineage: Bacteria; Pseudomonadati; Pseudomonadota; Alphaproteobacteria; Rhodospirillales; Kiloniellaceae
Description: partial 16S ribosomal RNA
Rfam family: Bacterial small subunit ribosomal RNA
Source: RNAcentral
ACGGAAGGCAGCAGUUAGGAAUAUUGGACAAUGGGGGCAACCCUGAUCCAGCAAUGCCGCGUGAGUGUUAAGGCCUUCGGGUUGUAAAGCUCUUUUGUAUGGGAAAAUGAUGAUGGUACCAUAAGAAUAAGCACCGGCUAACUUCGUGCCAGCAGCCGCGGUAAUACGAAGGGUGCAAGCGUUGUUCGGAAUUACUGGGUGUAAAGGGCGUGUAGGCGGAGCUGCAAGUCAGAUGUGAAAUCCCGGGGCUCAACCCCGGAACUGCAUUUGAAACUGUAGCCCUUGAGUAUCGGAGAGGCAAGCGGAAUUCCUAGUGUAGCGGUGAAAUGCGUAGAUAUUAGGAGGAACACCAGUGGCGAAGGCGGCUUGCUGGACGACAACUGACGCUGAGGCGCGAAAGCGUGGGGAGCAAACAGGAUUAGAUACCCUGGUA